RNAcentral lists this ribosomal RNA (497 nucleotides) under uncultured bacterium. RNAcentral describes it as "partial 16S ribosomal RNA". It matches the Rfam family "Bacterial small subunit ribosomal RNA", at positions 28 to 507 of the family's 1533-position model. The record is from RNAcentral.
GAUGAACGCUGGCGGCGUGCCUAAUACAUGCAAGUCGAGCGAACAGAUGAGGAGCUUGCUCCUCUGACGUUAGCGGUGGACGGGUGAGUAACACGUGGAUAACCUACCUAUAAGACUGGGAUAACUUCGGGAAACCGGAGCUAAUACCGGAUAAUAUAUUGAACCGCAUGGUUCAAUAGUGAAAGACGGUUUUGCUGUCACUUAUAGAUGGAUCCGCGCCGCAUUAGCUAGUUGGUAAGGUAACGGCUUACCAAGGCGACGAUGCGUAGCCGACCUGAGAGGGUGAUCGGCCACACUGGAACUGAGACACGGUCCAGACUCCUACGGGAGGCAGCAGUAGGGAAUCUUCCGCAAUGGGCGAAAGCCUGACGGAGCAACGCCGCGUGAGUGAUGAAGGUCUUCGGAUCGUAAAACUCUGUUAUUAGGGAAGAACAAAUGUGUAAGUAACUAAGCACGUCUUGACGGUACCUAAUCAGAAAGCCACGGCUAACUACGUG